Molecule: ribosomal RNA, 497 nt
Filed under: uncultured bacterium
Lineage: Bacteria
Description: partial 16S ribosomal RNA
Rfam family: Bacterial small subunit ribosomal RNA
Source: RNAcentral
GAUGAACGCUGGCGGCGUGCCUAAUACAUGCAAGUCGAGCGAACGGACGAGAAGCUUGCUUCUCUGAUGUUAGCGGCGGACGGGUGAGUAACACGUGGAUAACCUACCUAUAAGACUGGGAUAACUUCGGGAAACCGGAGCUACUACCGGAUAAUAUUUUGAACCGCAUGGUUCAAGAGUGAAAGACGGUCUUGCUGUCACUUAUAGAUGGAUCCGCGCUGCAUUAGCUAGUUGGUAAGGUAACGGCUUACCAAGGCAACGAUGCAUAGCCGACCCGAGAGGGUGAUCGGCCACACUGGAACGGAGACACGGUCCAGACUCCUACGGGAGGCAGCAGUAGGGAAUCUUCCGCAAUGGGCGAAAGCCUGACGGAGCAACGCCGCGUGAGUGAUGAAGGUCUUCGGAUCGUAAAACUCUGUUAUUAGGGAAGAACAAAUGUGUAAGUAACUGUGCACAUCUUGACGGUACCUAAUCAGAAAGCCACGGCUAACUACGUG